AGAAAUUUUGACAGAUCCUUCAAACCCUUGGCCAUGCCCAUACUCUCUGCUGAUGCUAAAUCCUUCAGACUCCCAAUUGUGAUUCCAAAGCCAAAGUUAGGGACUAGAGGUACCAGCAACAUUGAAGAGCCACCAAUUUCUGCAUCUUCUUUGCAUGGUUCUAAAAUUAACAUGAAAUAAGUGCCAAUAUUUGAUCUUUGUCUAAAAAAGAGGUUCAUUAACAAGUUCUACACAAUUGUUGUUAUUAUUUUUGUACUCACAGUGAUGAUGUGUAUUUGGACAGAUAUUUCCGGCUUUUGAGUUGAGUGAAGCCAAAGCUGGCUGCACCUUCAUAAGAGAGUUUCUCAAUGUGUUCGACCAACAGCUCCUUCAAUGCAUUCUAAUCCCUCAUAGGCAGUUUUCUUGAAGGUCUAAUUAUCUGCACUGAUUUCAUUUGAUAAUAGUUUAGUCCUCAUCAAUGAAUUAAUUAGUAAUAGAAUAAUUUGCUAAUAGGUGUAUAAUCAUUGUUCAUAAAUAAUAGAAUAUACUAUGCUUUUGUUUCAUUA
This is a long non-coding RNA of Medicago truncatula (barrel medic), 545 nucleotides long. RefSeq lists it as uncharacterized. The record is from RefSeq and is a predicted model, not a curated record. The transcript is spliced from 2 exons. NCBI's taxonomy places the organism in Eukaryota, Viridiplantae, Streptophyta, Magnoliopsida, Fabales, Fabaceae.